RNAcentral lists this ribosomal RNA (482 nucleotides) under uncultured bacterium. RNAcentral describes it as "bacterial SSU rRNA". It matches the Rfam family "Bacterial small subunit ribosomal RNA", at positions 30 to 509 of the family's 1533-position model. The record is from RNAcentral.
AUUGAACGCUGGCGGCAUGCCUUACACAUGCAAGUCGAACGGCAGCACGGGAGCAAUCCUGGUGGCGAGUGGCGAACGGGUGAGUAAUAUAUCGGAACGUGCCCAGUCGUGGGGGAUAACGUAGCGAAAGCUACGCUAAUACCGCAUACGAUCUACGGAUGAAAGCGGGGGAUCGCAAGACCUCGCGCGAUUGGAGCGGCCGAUAUCAGAUUAGCUAGUUGGUGGGGUAAAAGCUCACCAAGGCGACGAUCUGUAGCUGGUCUGAGAGGACGACCAGCCACACUGGAACUGAGACACGGUCCAGACUCCUACGGGAGGCAGCAGUGGGGAAUUUUGGACAAUGGGCGCAAGCCUGAUCCAGCAAUGCCGCGUGCAGGAUGAAGGCCUUCGGUUGUAACUGCUUUGUACGAACGAAAGGACUCUGGUUAAUACCUGGGCGUCAUGACGGUACCGUAAGAAUAAGCACCGGCUAACUACGUGCC